Molecule: long non-coding RNA, 325 nt
Filed under: Triticum aestivum (bread wheat)
Lineage: Eukaryota; Viridiplantae; Streptophyta; Magnoliopsida; Poales; Poaceae
Description: long non-coding RNA (TAES_LNC009224)
Source: RNAcentral
GAGGGAGAGAGAGAAGGAAGGAGAGGAGGGAGAAAGAAAGAGGAAGGAGGAGAUGGAGGUGCGUUGGCUGAUGGGACAACUAGGUUUCCUUCCUCCACCUUCCUUUUGGUUGCAGUUUCUUGCCGAGCUCCUCCUUCUAAUUCAUGUCCUCCUGAUUCAAUGUUUUCAGGCAUCUAGGUUUGGGUGGGGCUGGAUUCCUACAACGAUGGAGGCACCAGCCAACAGCUACAUCUUCCUCGGAUUUUGCAACCAAGUGUCGAGCUGUGUUGUUGUACCAAAGAUACUGUAUAAAGACGUGCCAUGUUGUUCCUCGCCAGGCGAGCUC